GGCGGCCGGCGGCCGGCCACCAUGCGCGGUGGUUCCGGCAGUGGCUCCGGUGGGCUAUGGAGAUGAUUCAACUUCCAGAGGCUUCCUCAUAAAUUUUUGAAAUUUUUGAGACACAGAUAAACUUCGGGUGAUCGAUGUCAGCUAUUUUCCUGCAUCCAGUAGCCACAAUAAUCAUCGGUGUACUGCCACAGGAGGAGUUAUUUUACAGAGCAACCUGUUUUCUUCCUCGCAGGUUUAACGUCGAUUAUUUAAUUGUUUUACUAUUUUUUCUAAAGUUAAAAUCUAGAACUCCGCAUGUGUUAGUAAUAGUGUGGACCUUGUUAGA
Hevea brasiliensis (rubber tree) is the source of this 325-nucleotide long non-coding RNA. RefSeq lists it as uncharacterized. The record is from RefSeq and is a predicted model, not a curated record. Lineage: Eukaryota; Viridiplantae; Streptophyta; Magnoliopsida; Malpighiales; Euphorbiaceae. The transcript has 3 exons.